CAAGGCGUGUCUGAGCUCGUGUUGUGAAAUGUUGGGUUAAGUCCCGCAACGAGCGCAACCCUUAUCCUUUGUUGCCAGCGGUUCGGCCGGGAACUCAAAGGAGACUGCCAGUGAUAAACUGGAGGAAGGUGGGGAUGACGUCAAGUCAUCAUGGCCCUUACGAGUAGGGCUACACACGUGCUACAAUGGCGUAUACAAAGAGAAGCGACCUCGCGAGAGCAAGCGGACCUCAUAAAGUACGUCGUAGUCCGGAUUGGAGUCUGCAACUCGACUCCAUGAAGUCGGAAUCGCUAGUAAUCGUAGAUCAGAAUGCUACGGUGAAUACGUUCCCGGGCCUUGUACACACCGCCCGUCACACCAUGGGAGUGGGUUGCAAAAGAAGUAGGUAGCUUAACCUUCGGGAGGGCGCGACCAUCCA
Molecule: ribosomal RNA, 418 nt
Filed under: bacterium 28S335
Lineage: Bacteria
Description: bacterial SSU rRNA
Rfam family: Bacterial small subunit ribosomal RNA
Source: RNAcentral